AACGAACGCUGGCGGCAUGCCUAACACAUGCAAGUCGAACGAGACCUUCGGGUCUAGUGGCGCACGGGUGCGUAACGCGUGGGAACCUGCCCUUAGGUUCGGAAUAACUCCCCGAAAGGGGUGCUAAUACCGGAUAAUGUCUUCGGACCAAAGAUUUAUCGCCUUUGGAUGGGCCCGCGUUGGAUUAGCUAGUUGGUAGGGUAAAAGCCUACCAAGGCGACGAUCCAUAGCUGGUCUGAGAGGAUGAUCAGCCACACUGGGACUAAGACACGGCCCAGACUCCUACGGGAGGCAGCAGUGGGGAAUAUUGGACAAUGGGCGAAAGCCUAAUCCAGCAAUGCCGCGUGAGUGAUGAAGGCCUUAGGGUUGUAAAGCUCUUUUACCCGGGAUGAUAAUGACAGUACCGGGAAAAUAAGCGCCGGCUAACUCCGUG
RNAcentral lists this ribosomal RNA (433 nucleotides) under uncultured bacterium. Its description in RNAcentral is "partial 16S ribosomal RNA". It matches the Rfam family "Bacterial small subunit ribosomal RNA", at positions 29 to 507 of the family's 1533-position model. The record is from RNAcentral.